This is a long non-coding RNA of Oryctolagus cuniculus (rabbit), 1675 nucleotides long. NCBI's taxonomy places the organism in Eukaryota, Metazoa, Chordata, Mammalia, Lagomorpha, Leporidae. The record is from Ensembl.
GCCCGGUUAUGAGGUCUCCCUGCGGGCCCGCUCCUCCACGCCCCCAGCUUGCGGGGCCAGCCAGGAGCCCGUGUGGGCGCGGGGCCCCAGAGGCGGGGCUCCCCCCAGGCUCCCCACGGGGCAGGGUCCCCAGUGCGCCCCCUCCCCCAGCGCCACGGCUGCCGCGUCCAGGACCUCGGCUCAGCGGAGCUCACGCCCAGCAGCGCAGCGUGGACACCGAGCCGACAGCCGGACACCGAGCGCGCGGCCGGCCGCGGCCACCUGGGUCUGCGGGAGGAACCUGCCCCGCCCGGCCAGGGUCACGCAGCAGCAGGCGGCCGAGGGCUGAUCGCGGCUCCGUGGCUCUGCUCGGUCCCUGGCGCCAGCGCCGACCCCCCAACGCCCACCCUGCAGGCGCAGCAGGUCCACCCCCGCCCACCUCGCGGGCGCAGGGGCCGGGGCUCAGAGCCUCGGUCGGACGGUCAGUCCGCGGACAGCAGCUCAGCGCCCUCGACGCCGGCGGGCUGAGAGGACACCUGGGGGCCUGCAGCCGCGUGGUAGCCCUGGCCACCUGGGCAGGCAGGUGGAGCCCUCAGGCCAUGACAGGUGCCCUGACCUUCGGGGCACAUCCCUCAGCGCUUCUGGAAGGGCACCCCAAAGCUGCCUCUAUGUUUCUUUUUUUUUUUUAUUUGACAGGUAGAGUUAUAGACAGUGAGAGAGAGAGACAGACAGAGAGAAAGGCCUUCCUUCUGUUGGUUCACUCCCCAAAUGGCCGCAACGGCCAGAGCUAUGCCAAUCUGAAGCCAGGAGCCAGGUGCCCCAGGCCCUGGGGCUCUGCCCUGGGAAGGCACUGAUGCUGUGUUGCUCUCACAUCGUGAGUUCAUUUCUUUGAGACUGGACCAAGAUCAAAGAAAGAGCCUGACCCUGGAUCCCUCUGGCUUCCUGCCUCACCACAAUGCCACAGCCACGGCCACAGCCACGAGGCCCUCGCCAGACCCGGGCAGAAGCCAGUGCUGCGGCCUUGAACCUCCGGAGCUAAAUGCACCUCCUUUCUUUAUACGUUUGCCAACCUCAGUGUUCAGUUGGAGCCAUGGGAAAUGGACAGAGACCGGCGCUCAUGCAACCUGACCUUGGCUGUUUCACCAUGGCCUCCUGCCUCUUCCUGGUCACGGCGCAGGGCGAUGACGUCAGGGCCAGCUCUCAUCAGCGGCAGCUUCCUGCUUCCUGAUCCUCUAUGCCCAUUUUACAUGGUGCACCAUCUUACACGGUGCCAGAUGUUUGUGGCCCGUGCUGGGCUCUGGGCAGACCAGGCCUUUCUGGAAAGGACCCUGCAGCCUCUACCCCCGUUCCUGCUCAGGCCUCGCUCUGGCCAUGCAGGGUAAGAACAACCCGGGUCCUGGCGGCAGGCAGCUAAGACGUAUGGGAUUUAAUAAGCGCGUCGGGGCUGGGCGCGGCGCGGCUGUGCUACCCGCUCUUGUGGGAGGUAAAUUUCCUUCUUUUGUAAUCGGGGGUGUCUGGAGCAGGUGACCCACUCUGUGUUACCACGACCGGGUUAUUAUGGCCAUAAAUCCUUCUGCCUCUGCUCCUUCCAUUUACAUUAAAUACAGUCUCCGUUAGGGCGUCUAAAUUAGCUUUCAGAGGAGAAACCCUUGUGUAAUUUAAAGGGGAUGCGGAAUGCGACUGAGACAGGGGAACG